UACGGAGGGGGUUAGCGUUGUUCGGAAUGACUGGGCGUAAAGCGCGCGUAGGCGGAUCGGCAAGUCGGGGGUGAAAUCCCGGGGCUCAACCCCGGAAUGGCCUUCGAGACUGCCGGUCUUGAGUUCGAGAGAGGUGGGUGGAAUUCCGAGUGUAGAGGUGAAAUUCGUAGAUAUUCGGAGGAACACCAGUGGCGAAGGCGGCCCACUGGCUCGACACUGACGCUGAGGUGCGAAAGCGUGGGGAGCAAACAGGAUUAGAUACCCUAGUAGUCC
RNAcentral lists this ribosomal RNA (273 nucleotides) under uncultured bacterium. Its description in RNAcentral is "partial 16S ribosomal RNA". It matches the Rfam family "Bacterial small subunit ribosomal RNA", at positions 524 to 796 of the family's 1533-position model. The record is from RNAcentral.